CCUACGGGAGGCAGCAGUGGGGAAUAUUGCACAAUGGGGGAAACCCUGAUGCAGCGACGCCGCGUGAGUGAAGAAGUAUUUAGGUAUGUAAAGCUCUAUCAGCAGGGAAGAAAAUGACGGUACCUGACUAAGAAGUCCCGGCUAACUACGAUCCAGCAGCCGCGGUACUGCGUAGGGGGCAAGCGUUAUCCGGAUUUACUGGGGGUAAAGGGUGGGUAGACGGCCUGACAAGUCAGAAGUGAAAGCCCAGGGCUCAACCCUGGGACUGCUUUUGAAACUGGCGGGCUGGAGUGAAGGAGAGGUAAGCGGAAUUCCUAGUGUAGCGGUGAAAUGCGUAGAUAUUAGGAGGAACACCAGUGGCGAAGGCGGCUUACUGGACUGUAACUGACGCUGAGGCACGAAGGCCAGGGGAGCGAAAGGGAUUAGAUACCCUAGUAGUC
Molecule: ribosomal RNA, 440 nt
Filed under: uncultured bacterium
Lineage: Bacteria
Description: partial 16S ribosomal RNA
Rfam family: Bacterial small subunit ribosomal RNA
Source: RNAcentral